This 465-nucleotide ribosomal RNA is filed under the name uncultured bacterium. Its description in RNAcentral is "SSU rRNA". It matches the Rfam family "Bacterial small subunit ribosomal RNA", at positions 26 to 518 of the family's 1533-position model. The record is from RNAcentral.
AGGAUUAACGCUGGCGGCGUGCCUAACGACAUGCAAGUCGAACGAGGUAGCAAUACCUAGUGGCAGACGGGUGAGUAACGCGUGGUCAACCUACCGUUGAGUGGGGGAUAACUAGCCGAAAGGUUAGCUAAUACCGCAUACGUCUCCGAGGGGCAUCCCUUGGCGAUAAAAGGAGCAAUCCGCUCGAUGACGGGACCGCGUCCCAUUAGCUAGAUGGUGGGGUAACGGCCUACCAUGGCACCGAUGGGUAGCUGGUUUGAGAGAGCGACCAGCCACACUGGGACUGAGAAACGGCCCAGACUCCUACGGGAGGCAGCAGUGAGGAAUUUUCCGCAAUGGGCGCAAGCCUGACGGAGCGACGCCGCGUGUGGGAAGAAGGCCUUCGGGUCGUAAACCACUGUCGAAGGGGACGAUAAUGACGGUACCCUUGGAGGAAGCCCCGGCUAACUACGCGCCAGCAGCCGC